GCCAUAGAGUAGGAAUAUAAUCAUGUUGUGCUGAUAUACUUAAAAAGACAAAAGAUAUCCAGGUCAGAAAUUCUGAAAUGUUUUAAAUAAGCUCUUUUUUUCUCUCUUGUAAUAACUUGAGGCCCUUCUCUACCAUCUUAGACUUACUUUUCCUAUAGCUUCCUUGGCUUAUUUCACUUCUACAUCUACUUCUAUGUUUUAUUCUCCCCCUACAGACAAAUUAUUUAUGUUAUUUCAUCUGCAUGCACCUGUCCAGCCUUUGCACCACUGGCACCAGAGAAUGGCCGUAGGCUAUUCCAACAAUCUGUUCCCUGCCUCCAGACUGCAGAUUUUGACAAGGUUUUUCUGCACAACACUUAACCCUGUGUCCUGAAAUUCACUGCAGUGCUGUAUCCCACGGCCUGGCAUCACAAGCUGUCCAAGGGAGACACAACCCUGGCCCAGAGGAUGGGGGGGGUUCCCUGGCCCUUGGCUCCAUCUCACUGCAGAGAGGGAGAGUGGUCCCCCCACCAGCUCUCCAAAUGACGUCACAUACAUGAGGGCAAGCCACUUGAACCAUUGGCUGUGUUCCCAAAUGCUGGGAGAGCUUUUUAUGUGGCUGUGUAAGAGGAGAAUACUUUUCAAGUGAGGAGAAGAGAGUAGGGAGAGUUCAGAGGAAAGUGAGCAGAGACACAGAGAAGAGAGAAAAAGGAAAAAUGAAUUUUUCUGGGGUUCCUUUCACAGGAAUGUUUCCUUGAGAAACAAAGACCGAAUUACAAAAGGUUUUUAUUUAGUGUGAGGCUACCAAGCUGCAGCUCUACUACUAAAAUUACCACACAGAGAUAUUGACUGCUAAUCAGAUACUUUCACAAUUACAUCUAGAAAAAAUAAAUACUUAUGUAAUUGUAUGGGAAAGACAGUUCUAAAUUUGUAAGUUAAGUUUGACUUACAGACAUACUUAAAAAAGAAGAAACAAGAAACCAUUGUGAGAACAAUUUAACACAAUUGGGG
This is a long non-coding RNA of Empidonax traillii (willow flycatcher), 990 nucleotides long. RefSeq lists it as uncharacterized. The transcript is spliced from 2 exons. Lineage: Eukaryota; Metazoa; Chordata; Aves; Passeriformes; Tyrannidae. The record is from RefSeq and is a predicted model, not a curated record.